GCGUUGGUGGUUCAGUGGUACAAUUCCCACCUUCCAUGUGGGGGACCCGGGUUUGAUUCCUGGCCAAUGUA
Molecule: transfer RNA, 71 nt
Filed under: Loxodonta africana (African savanna elephant)
Lineage: Eukaryota; Metazoa; Chordata; Mammalia; Proboscidea; Elephantidae
Rfam family: tRNA
About the family: Transfer RNA (tRNA) molecules are approximately 80 nucleotides in length. Their secondary structure includes four short double-helical elements and three loops (D, anti-codon, and T loops).
Source: Rfam by way of RNAcentral